AGUCCCUCUACAUGAUAUUGGUGAGGUUGGUAAUGAAAGUCAUUGAAGAAAUUGAGGCAAAAGUUAACUCUGUCCAAUCCUGGCCAGCAGGAUUAUUAAGUAACUUGAAAAAAAUAAUUCCUGAUACUCUAUUUAUUUAGUGAUUGAUCUUCUAAAUCAGUUUGUUUUGUUGUUGUUGUUUGAUUGAUUGAUUUUUUUGAGACAGUCUUGCUUUGUCACCCAGGCUGGAGUGCAGUGGCAUGAUCUCAGCUCACCGCAACCUCUGCCUCCCGGUUCAAGUGUUUCUCCUGCCUCAGCCCCCCAAGUAGCUGGGACUACAGGUGUGUGCCACCAUACCCAGAAAAUUUUGUAUUUUUAGUAGAGAUGGAGUUUUGCCAUGUUGGCCAGGCUGGUCUUGAACUGGCCUCAAGCAAUCCACCUGCCUCAGCCUCCCAAAGUGCUGGGAUUAUAGGCGUGAGCCACCAUGCCUGGCUUCACUUUGUUUUUUAAUACCAAGUCUCAUAAAUAGUAUAAAGUGGGAGUUAAGGGAUUUCAGUGCUGAUUUUGCCACUAACUUGUUCAAAAGCACCAGAGAGUACCACUGAGGUACUCAGCUGAGGAAAAACACUUAAAUGAUAUCUAGGGAACUUUACUGCUCUGACAGUCUGUGAUUGUACAUUAGUACUUUAGACAGCAGAGAGAUAAACCCUGAUUCCGGUUUACAGAUAAUUACUCAUCUCUCUGCCUGAGGCCAAGAAAAGCCCUCUGUGGAGCAGUGUGGAAGAAUGCCUUAGAGCACAGUAGCAGAGAGUUCCAGACCCGGAGGCAAGGGGAUCUGGGUUAACUCUCAACGUUGCCAACUGUGAUUUGAAUCUUCUGACAGGGUGCUGGGCCUGCUAGCAUCUCAGUUUUCUCACCUGUAAAAUGGAGACAAUAACAGUGUGUGAGCUUUUUUUGGUACAAACGUUAAUGCAUGAAAAGACCUACAACAUGUUUCCGCAUGGGCUAGUUGAAAGUUUUGGAGGAAAAAAUAUCAAGCUGAUAAUUUUUAAAUUUUUUUUUUUGUUUUGAGGCAGAGUCUUGCUCUGUCACCCAGGCUGGAGGACAGUUCCACGAUCUUGGCUCACUGCAACCCCCGCCUGCUGGGUUCAAGUGAAUCUCAUGCCUCAGCCUUCCCAGUAGCUGGGACUACAGGUGCGUGCUACCAUGCCCGGCUAAUUUUUGCAUUUUUAGUAGAGAUGGGGUUUCACCAUUUUGGCCAGGCUGGUCUCGAACUCCUAACCUUAGGUGAUUCACCCCCUCCUCGGCCUCCCAAAGUGCUGGGAUUACAGGUGUGAGCCACCUCGCCCAGCCGUAAAAUUCUUAAUAUGUAAGUAUUUUCUUCAAAAAUGAAUCUAAUUUGCAUAACUAAAGUUUCUGAAUGCUUUAUCUAGAAUAAUCAUGGGACUGGAAGUUUCUUAAUAGUUCUUCUCUAGGUUUUUGCACUUUAAAUACCCUGCAGGUCUUUUCAUUCUAAUAUAACAUAAUCACAGUAAUAAGAAGUGUGACAAAGCUCUAGUAGUUCAUGGUGCCUGUGCCUCAUUCACUCGUCAGCGAAGCCUCCCUCAGCAUCCCCUCCCCACAUCCAUCCCUGCACACUGCACCCUCUCCAAGCUGCUGCCAGCCGUGCUGCUCCCCUGCCUCCUUACUGGAGUGCAAGCCAGUAAAAAAGGAAGCAAAUUCGGUUAUGUAAAGCACAUUCUGGGUAAGGAAAGGCAAGCAUGUGUUUCUGCUUGACUGAAAUUGGUUUUUUUUUUUCCCCACCAGUUUGUCCUCUUAUCGGGAUACGUCAGAAAUUAGAGAGACCCUGGCAAUCACAGCUUCCACCUCCUCAUUUUACAAAUGAGCAACUAGGCUCAGAGUACAGAAGUGGCUUUCCCAGGGUCACACAGCCAGCUUGUGACAGAGUCAGGAUUCAAGUACCAUCUCCUGACUUCUCCAUUGCACCAGACGUCGAUAGAACACAGAGAACCUAAAAGAAGAAAGAAAAAAAAAUAGAGCUUUUGGGAAUAUAUUGGGCUUCUGGUUUUCAAGGACAAUUUUAUGAUAAGUAGCAAUGAUGCCUCAAAAGCUCUGGUAGCUAGCUUGAAUGAACUUAUGUAAUAAACAUUUAUCACAGAACAUGUGUCAUCAAACACCUGCCAGUUCUGAGCGUUGGCACCAAAGCUGCUUUCAUUGUCAAAGAAAAGAGGGGGAAAGGAACUUGGCUGAACAAAGCUGGCAGACGUUUAUACUAGAAAAUUUAGAGAUGUCAGGAGCAAGGGAGCACCAGUGGUAGAAGAACCUGCCUCCCCUGGCUCCAUCAAAGGCCACAGGCCCAUGAGAAUCACCCGGCCUGCUCUGAGCAGCACACUCGGAGGCCACAGCCACGCACAGGAAAGUGAGAGGAAGUGGAAACGUGCGAGCAGAGGGCUCAAAGCGACGGGCUCACCACCGG
RNAcentral lists this long non-coding RNA (2455 nucleotides) under Homo sapiens (human). Its description in RNAcentral is "HSALNT0316988". Lineage: Eukaryota; Metazoa; Chordata; Mammalia; Primates; Hominidae. The record is from RNAcentral.